CACCUCAGUUCCAGCAAUGCCCAUUGCUAACCCAAUGUCGGCUUCAUGAAGAGCCGGAGCAUCAUUUGUACCAUCACCGGUCACUGCAACAACCUCUCCAAAUUUUGUUCGCAAGUGCUUCACAAGGGUAUGUUUAUCCAAUGGUGAAGAUCGGGCCAUUACCUGAAUUCUUGGAAUCAGUUCAAGCAACUCCUCCUCACUUUUCUCCCGAAAUUCUGGUCCUUCAAUUGCUAUGCCCUUAUCCGUUAAAAUUCCACAUUCUCUAGCAAUAGCCUUUGCAGUGGUUAUGUUGUCUCCAGUGACCAUUCGAACAACAAUUCCAGCUGCUGAUUUGCAAAUUGCAACAGACUCCUUGACGCCAGGGCGCACUGGAUCUUUGAUGCCUACAAUACCUAUGCAAGUGUACCCUUUGAAAGGAAUAUGGCUUUCAGCAGAGAAUUCACUUCCAAUUUCUAUGUAAGCAAGGCAAAGAGUUCGAAGAGCUUCACUGGCAAAUUGUUCAAUCGUAUUCUUUAAAUGAUUGAUGGUUGUUUCAUCAAGGGGAACAACCUCACCAUUUGUGUCUAUAAAUUUGUCACAUGCAGCUAAAAUU
Molecule: unclassified non-coding RNA, 592 nt
Filed under: Hevea brasiliensis (rubber tree)
Lineage: Eukaryota; Viridiplantae; Streptophyta; Magnoliopsida; Malpighiales; Euphorbiaceae
Source: RNAcentral